UAACCAUUCAUACAUCUCUCUUAUCUUACAAUUCUGCAAUAUAGUGUGUGUCCUAUUCAUGAAUAGUUGAAGACAAAAAGUCACAUUCAUGAAUAGUAGGAGUCAAGUUACUGUGUAAAUAGUAAAGGUUAGUAACUGUGUAAAUAGUAAAGGUUAGUAACUGUGUAAAUAGUAAAGGUCAAUCGUCUUUUGGUAAGGAUGAAAGGUCAUUAGGAACUUGUAUAUAAGUGGCAUUUGCCUUUGUAAAUAAAUCAUCAAUCACUAACCAUCCAUACAUCUCUCUUAUCUUACAAUUCUGCAAUAUAGUCGAUCACCCCCCCCCCCUCCCCCAAAUUGGUAUCAGAGCGGCCUUCUUGGCCGACAAUUUACAUGACUCAAAAAAGCAAAACUAUACAAAUUGACUAAUUUGUACAUAUAUCUUUAUGUCUAUUUUUUCUUUUAUUUUCUUCUUCUUAGUUCAUUCCAGCUGUACGUCUGGGACAUAGUUAUCUUCUCCAUUGCAUUUUGAACAUAUAUGUUCCUGAUACUUAUGUCCAAUCAGUUUGCAAUAUCUGGUUAAUAAUUCUUUCAAAAUAAAUCCUUGCUUCAAAGCUCUAGUUGUUGGUGGUAAUUCUGGCUUUAACAAAGAUAAUAUCCAUCUCUGUACUUUUGCCAUAUCUGUUGUCCUAACUUCUUUGGAAUUUGCAUAUAUCGUUAAAUGAUCUCUGGAAUAAUAACUCCAACUAGCAAUUCCUUGUAGAUAAUUUGUAGCUAGUUCUUGGAUUAUAGUUGAUAGCCCAAUUGUUCUUUUAUUUGCAUAAAAAAUAGGUAUCUCAACUUUAGGUAUUUCUGGCUGUGCCGAUAUAUCCUCUGGUAUUAUCAUUUCCCGUGUCAAUCCCAUUUUGACAACUUGGAUAGUUGGUUUUAUUUCGUCAAAAAGUAUUUCUGCUGGUGCUGUAUAAAAUUUUAUAAAAAAUAGGUUGCCUUUUGUAAUUCUUUUGUAUGUUAAAAAGGUUUUGUGGAUCUCAGGAAUUCCACUUAUUUCUGUACCAUCAUAUGUAUAUACCGUACUAAGUAGUCCAUAACUGUAACAAGUUCUAACCAAGUUUGGGUUAGUUUUAGGUUGUGCGAUUAGUUUAUUGUAGCCUUGCAAAUGUUGGGUUACAUAAUCCUUUGUUUUUUCUGUAGUGGUAGUAGAUCUUGGCUUGAGGUUUAAAAAAGUUUGGAUUGUAUAUAUGUUUUUGAUAUAUGAUUGGGUAAUAUGGUUAUAUAUCUUCUUUUCUCUGUUUAGGCUUUCUGCGUAGGUAGAAGUUUGUGGACUUGGUGUUAUAUCUAUAAUUUGUUUUCUGUGAAUGAAUGGUUUUUCAAAUAGAUUGUUUAAAUUGAUAUUUUUUCCCUUACUUGUACUUGCUUCAUUUGUACCUGCAGUUGAUAAUUUGUUAGUAUUUUGAGUUUUUAGGUGUUUCUCAACGUCACCUUUUAGUUCUGACCUUUUAUCGUCUGCCGGACGACGUAGCUCCGCAUAUUUAGAGUCAUGCUGCUGACCAUUAUAUGCUUUCUUCAAUAGUUGCACUUCACUGUCAAGACUUUCCACUUUUUGGCAAAGUGUAGUUAUGGC
This 1597-nucleotide long non-coding RNA is filed under the name Solanum lycopersicum (tomato). RNAcentral's name for it is "long non-coding RNA (SLYC_LNC000270)". The record is from RNAcentral. Lineage: Eukaryota; Viridiplantae; Streptophyta; Magnoliopsida; Solanales; Solanaceae.